UUCUAGCCACUAGCAGUCACCAGUUUCUCUUCACUGACCAAUGACAAGCAAAGAAAACAGUGUCCCCCCUCCUACAACCACGAUGGCUGCAGA
Molecule: long non-coding RNA, 93 nt
Organism: Etheostoma spectabile (orangethroat darter)
Lineage: Eukaryota; Metazoa; Chordata; Actinopteri; Perciformes; Percidae
Exons: 4
Source: RefSeq, a predicted model, not a curated record